RNAcentral lists this ribosomal RNA (583 nucleotides) under Bacteroidetes bacterium oral taxon 281. Its description in RNAcentral is "bacterial SSU rRNA". It matches the Rfam family "Bacterial small subunit ribosomal RNA", at positions 427 to 1010 of the family's 1533-position model. The record is from RNAcentral. Lineage: Bacteria; Pseudomonadati; Bacteroidota.
AAACUUCUUUUGACGCAGAGCAAUAAGGGACACGCGUGUUCCGAUGAGAGUAUGCGUCGAAUAAGCAUCGGCUAACUCCGUGCCAGCAGCCGCGGUAAUACGGAGGAUGCGAGCGUUAUCCGGAUUUAUUGGGUUUAAAGGGUGCGUAGGCUGUUGGAUAAGUCAGCGGUGAAAUCACCACGCUUAACGUGUUGUGUGCCGUUGAAACUGUCCAGCUUGAAUGCGCUCGUCGUGAGAGGAAUGUGUGGUGUAGCGGUGAAAUGCAUAGAUAUCACACAGAACACCGAUUGCGAAGGCAUCUCACGAGGGCGCUAUUGACGCUGAUGCACGAAAGCGCGGGUAUCGAACAGGAUUAGAUACCCUGGUAGUCCGCGCUGUAAACGAUGAUGACUAACCGUUGGUCUGGUAUGGAUCAGUGGUCAAGCGAAAGCGUUAAGUCAUCCACCUGGGGAGUACGGCCGCAAGGCUGAAACUCAAAGGAAUUGACGGGGCCCGCACAAGCGGAGGAACAUGUGGUUUAAUUCGAUGAUACGCGAGGAACCUUACCGGGGCUCGAACGGCGGAUGAAUAUGUUAGAGAGAGC